CACAGUACGGGCAAGCGGCCGGGGUAACACGUAGGGGCCAAGGGUUGUCCGGAAUUAUUAGGCGUAAAGAGCUCGUAGGCGGCUCGGUAAGUCAGGGGUGAAACCUCCAGGCUCAACCUGGAGACGCCACCUGAUACUGCUGUGGCUAGAGUCCGGUAGGGGAGCGUGGAAUUCCUGGGGUAGCGGUGAAAUGCGCAGAUAUCAGGAGGAACACCAGCGGCGAAGGCGGCGCUCUGGGCCGGAACUGACGCUGAGGAGCGAAAGCGUGGGUAGCAAACAGGAUUAGAUACCCCGGUAGUC
This 300-nucleotide ribosomal RNA is filed under the name uncultured Paenibacillus sp. Its description in RNAcentral is "bacterial SSU rRNA". It matches the Rfam family "Bacterial small subunit ribosomal RNA", at positions 497 to 795 of the family's 1533-position model. The record is from RNAcentral. Lineage: Bacteria; Bacillati; Bacillota; Bacilli; Caryophanales; Paenibacillaceae.